This 358-nucleotide long non-coding RNA is filed under the name Mus musculus (house mouse). RNAcentral's name for it is "predicted gene, 48462". Lineage: Eukaryota; Metazoa; Chordata; Mammalia; Rodentia; Muridae. The record is from RNAcentral.
AGAUUUCUUUCCUAGGGUUUCUAUCUCCAGCGUUGCCUCACUUUGAGUUUUCUUUAUUGUGCCUACUUCCCUUUUUAGGUUUUCGGGUCUAGGUUUUGGGGUGCCCUGAACUGGGCGAAGUGGGAGUGCUGGGUUCUGAUAAUGACCCACCUACAGUCUAUUCCUGAGGACUUAAGUUUCUAAGAAUCUAUCACUGCCUCUUGCAAAAUCUGUCAGAUGUCAGACUCCAACUCAAGUCAUUCCCUUGCAUCUGGAAAACUUCAAUGUACCAUGCCUGAUGUGACUUGCAAUCCCUGGUAUUUUCUUUACUAUAAAAAAGUCUGAUGCUCGACCUGACAAUAUAUUCAGAUUCAACACC